AAAACAAAAUGAAUGACCAAAACGAUAUGAAGUUCAACUUAAACACUCACAAAACUGACCCUCUAUAUUUAACCCGGACAAUCAAAUGAUUAAACGAUAACCGAUUAAGCAUCCAUAUAGAGAAGAAAGUAACCUUUGUAUUCCAAAAUUAACCAGUUCCCAUAUAAAUAUGUUAAAGUCAAAAACAAAGGAGCAAACAAAGAAGGACCAAAAGAAACUCAACAGAAGCAAGUUACCACGUGACGCUUGGAAUCGAAUUAGGGAAAAAAGGAGAAGGAAAUAUUACCUUUUGAAGUGCAACAAACCAGGACAAAAUGAU
Molecule: unclassified non-coding RNA, 319 nt
Filed under: Hevea brasiliensis (rubber tree)
Lineage: Eukaryota; Viridiplantae; Streptophyta; Magnoliopsida; Malpighiales; Euphorbiaceae
Source: RNAcentral